CCUUCCAUGCCAUUGAGCAACGGGGCAAGUUAAAAAUUGACUGUUCAGCUGAACUGCACGUCUGUUUUGCCCAGAGGUACAGACUCUCCUUUGCAAACAGGCGGUUCAGCACCCCGGGUGCACCCGGGGAAGCACCUGAGCACGAGGCCUGCCCACCCCAGGGUGGCACAAGAGGAGAAGUCAGAGGGUGCAGCAGCUCUGCUCGGGAGCGACAGGCGGUCAGCAGGAAUUAAAAAGACUUUUCUGCUCGCACAGCCAUUCGCAUCAGUCAUAUAUUCAGCCAGACGACAUGCCGUGCAAAACCACGCGCGUGGUAAAGAAGAGCAAGCGUGCAAUGGAGUGAAACUCAGGACCACGCUGCCUUUCAGGCGCACGGCAGCCGCACUGCAGAUGCGGGAGCCUGGCCGGUGCGGCGUGGGUGAUGGGAUGCAGAAGCUUCUCAGGUGGAUGCCCAGUAAUUGAGCUAAAUGAAGAGCCCCAUUAAUUCCUGGCAGCGAGGAGUGGCUCCGGGUGCCGGCUGCGGCGGGCAGCGUGCGGCAGUGCCGGCUCGGGAAACCUUCCACCACCUCCAGCCUGAUCCCAGUCCCCCGGCGUGGCGGGGGUCGAGGCAGCCGCUCUUCUGGCUUUAAGGGGGCAAUUAUUGCUCUUUGCCUGUAAUUAACGCGCAGAGCCACACGCACCCGCCACGGGGCUGAGCAGAGUCCGGAGUCGCCUCACGGACACCCGGGUUAUUUUGGCACAAAACCCCAGGGGUUACCUGAGGUCGGCUGUUGCAGACCAAAAUUUAGCUUUGCUGUUACUUUUGAAACCCUUUCAUUUUGAAUAAUGCAAACUAUUUUUAAUAAGAUAUUAAAGCUAAGUCAAAUACUUGAACUUGAAACGGUAUCCUAAUAUCUUUUAAUAGUUUCCCAGUGCUGAAUCAUGUUGCGUACCCGCCAAGGCUGCCUUACGAGCUGGG
Molecule: long non-coding RNA, 958 nt
Organism: Grus americana (Whooping crane)
Lineage: Eukaryota; Metazoa; Chordata; Aves; Gruiformes; Gruidae
Exons: 3
Source: RefSeq, a predicted model, not a curated record